RNAcentral lists this ribosomal RNA (497 nucleotides) under uncultured bacterium. RNAcentral's name for it is "partial 16S ribosomal RNA". It matches the Rfam family "Bacterial small subunit ribosomal RNA", at positions 28 to 507 of the family's 1533-position model. The record is from RNAcentral.
GAUGAACGCUGGCGGCGUGCCUAAUACAUGCAAGUCGAGCGAACAGACGAGGAGCUUGCUCCUUUGACGUUAGCGGCGGACGGGUGAGUAACACGUGGGUAACCUACCUAUAAGACUGGGAUAACUUCGGGAAACCGGAGCUAAUACCGGAUAAUAUUUCGAACCGCAUGGUUCGAUAGUGAAAGAUGGCUUUGCUAUCACUUAUAGAUGGACCUGCGCCGUAUUAGCUAGUUGGUAAGGUAACGGCUUACCAAGGCAACGAUACGUAGCCGACCUGAGAGGGUGCUCGGCCACACUGGAACGGAGACACGGUCCAGACUCCUACGGGAGGCAGCAGUAGGGAAUCUUGCGCAAUGGGCGAAAGCCUGACGGAGCAACGCCGCGUGAGUGAUGAAGGUCUUCGGAUCGUAAAACUCUGUUAUUAGGGAAGAACAAACGUGUAAGUAACUGUGCACGUCUUGACGGUACCUAAUCAGAAAGCCACGGCUAACUACGUG